AAUGAACGCUGGCGGCGUGCCUAAUACAUGCGAGUCGAGCGAACGGACGAGAAGCUUGCUUCUCUGAUGUUAGCGGCGGACGGGUGAGUAACACGUGGAUAACCUACCUAUAAGACUGGGAUAACUUCGGGAAACCGGAGCUAAUACCGGAUAAUAUUUUGAACCGCAUGGUUCAAAAGUGAAAGACGGUCUUGCUGUCACUUAUAGAUGGAUCCGCGCUGCAUUAGCUAGUUGGUAAGGUAACGGCUUACCAAGGCAACGAUGCAUAGCCGACCUGAGAGGGUGAUCGGCCACACUGGAACUGAGACACGGUCCAGACUCCUACGGGAGGCAGCAGUAGGGAAUCUUCCGCAAUGGGCGAAAGCCUGACGGAGCAACGCCGCGUGAGUGAUGAAGGUCUUCGGAUCGUAUAACUCUGUUAUUAGGGAAGAACAUAUGUGUAAGUAACUGUGCACAUCUUGACGGUACCUAAUCAGAAAGCCACGGCUAACUACGUG
This 497-nucleotide ribosomal RNA is filed under the name uncultured bacterium. RNAcentral describes it as "partial 16S ribosomal RNA". It matches the Rfam family "Bacterial small subunit ribosomal RNA", at positions 29 to 507 of the family's 1533-position model. The record is from RNAcentral.